This 468-nucleotide ribosomal RNA is filed under the name uncultured bacterium. RNAcentral's name for it is "partial 16S ribosomal RNA". It matches the Rfam family "Bacterial small subunit ribosomal RNA", at positions 28 to 507 of the family's 1533-position model. The record is from RNAcentral.
GAUGAACGCUGGCGGCGUGCUUAACACAUGCAAGUCGAACGGAAAGGCCCAGGCUUGCUUGGGUGCUCGAGUGGCGAACGGGUGAGUAACACGUGGGUGAUCUGCCCUGCACUUCGGGAUAAGCCUGGGAAACUGGGGCUAAUACCGGAUAGGACGUUGGUUUGGAUGCCAUGGGGGAAAGUUUUUUCGGUGUGGGGUAAGCUCGCGGCCUAUAAGCUUGUUGGUGGGGGAAUGGCGUACCAAGGCGUCGACGGGUAGCCGCCCGGAGAGGGUGUACGGCGCCACUGGGACUGAGAGACGGGCCAGACUCCUACGGGAGGCAGCAGUGGGGAAUAUUGCACAAUGGGCGCAAGCCUGAGGCAGCGACGCCGCGUGGGGGAUGACGGCCUUCGGGUUGUAAACUCCUUUCGCGAGGGACGAAGCGUUUUUGUGACGGUACCUGGAGAAGAAGCACCGGCUAACUACGUG